AUUUAUAUAGUUUAACAAAAACAUUACAUUUUCAUUGUAAAAAUAAAAUUAUUUUUUUUAUAAAUU
RNAcentral lists this transfer RNA (66 nucleotides) under Euryomma sp. SMD-2015. RNAcentral describes it as "tRNA-Glu". The record is from RNAcentral. Lineage: Eukaryota; Metazoa; Arthropoda; Insecta; Diptera; Fanniidae.